Long non-coding RNA from Brassica rapa (field mustard), 639 nucleotides. RefSeq lists it as uncharacterized. NCBI's taxonomy places the organism in Eukaryota, Viridiplantae, Streptophyta, Magnoliopsida, Brassicales, Brassicaceae. The record is from RefSeq and is a predicted model, not a curated record.
CUGCUCAUUGUCUUUGUGAUCAAAGAUGAGCUCCGCAGAGAAACAUUGCAGUACUCUAGUAAGAGAGAACUUAGAGAAGGAGCCACAGAUAAUGGAGCUCAGAAACCAAUGCAGAAUCAUCCGUACGAGUGAGCUUGCAACUGCGCAAGAAAAGCUCAAUGAGCUGGAAAGACAAAAGGAAGAGAUCCUCAAGCUCUACUCUCCUGGUUCUCUUCUUCAUAAACCAUAAGGUAAACUCACACAACUGCAUUACUUCCAUCGGUAUAGUUUCUUGGUGUCAUGACUUCUAAACGACACCUUUUGCGUGCUCCGCAGAGGCUAUGAAUCAGGUGGAUGAAGAAUGUGAAGCAUUACAAGAGAAGUUCCUAGAGAAGGAGUUUGAUACAGCACCAUUUGUGCAUAAUACAAGAACCUGCGUACCACUUACCAUAAACGAGCAUUGAAUCACCUUUCUGCUAAAACCUCAACCAUGUGUUGAAAACUAAGAAAAGCAGCUUUUGGACACUGAACUGAAUUCAUAACCAAAGUCUUUUUCUUUUGUAUGUCUCGACUCUUAUCCGAUGUUGUAAAAUAAAUAACUUACAACAACAAUUUCAUAAAAAGACAAAAACAAAAAGAACAAAAAGCCAAAGUCUUUUU